AUUGAACGCUGGCGGCAGGCCUAACACAUGCAAGUCGAACGGUAACAGGAAGCAGCUUGCUGCUUUGCUGACGAGUGGCGGACGGGUGAGUAAUGUCUGGGAAACUGCCUGAUGGAGGGGGAUAACUACUGGAAACGGUAGCUAAUACCGCAUAACGUCGCAAGACCAAAGAGGGGGACCUUAGGGCCUCUUGCCAUCGGAUGUGCCCAGAUGGGAUUAGCUAGUAGGUGGGGUAACGGCUCACCUAGGCGACGAUCCCUAGCUGGUCUGAGAGGAUGACCAGCCACACUGGAACUGAGACACGGUCCAGACUCCUACGGGAGGCAGCAGUGGGGAAUAUUGCACAAUGGGCGCAAGCCUGAGGCAGCCAUGCCGCGUGUAUGAAGAAGGCCUUCGGGUUGUAAAGUACUUUCAGCGGGGAGGAAGGGAGUAAAGUUAAUACCUUUGCUCAUUGACGUUACCCGCAGAAGAAGCACCGGCUAACUCCGU
This 489-nucleotide ribosomal RNA is filed under the name uncultured bacterium. RNAcentral's name for it is "partial 16S ribosomal RNA". It matches the Rfam family "Bacterial small subunit ribosomal RNA", at positions 30 to 506 of the family's 1533-position model. The record is from RNAcentral.